GACGAACGCUGGCGGCGUGCUUAACACAUGCAAGUCGAACGAAGAGCGAUGGAAUCUUGCUUCUAUCAAUCUUAGUGGCGGACGGGUGAGUAACGCGUAAUCAACCUGCCCUUCAGAGGGGGACAACAGUUGGAAACGACUGCUAAUACCGCAUACGAUCUAACCUCGGCAUCGAGGAUAGAUGUAAGGUGGCCUCUACAUGUAAGCUAUCACUGAAGGUGGGGAUUGCGUCUGAUUCGCUAGUUGGAGGGGUAACGGCCCACCAAGGCGAUGAUCAGUAGCCGGUCGGAGAGGAUGAGCGGCCAGAUUGGGAGUGAGACACGGCCCAGAGUGCUACAGGAGGCAGCAGUGGGGAAUCGUCCGCAAGGGGCGAAAGUCUGACGGAGCAACGCCGAGUGAGUGAUGACGGCCGUCGGGUUGUAAAGCUCUGUUAAUCGGUACGAAAGGCCUUCUUGCGAAGAGUGAGAAGGAUUGACGGUACCGGAAUAGAAAGCCACGGCUAACUACGUG
Molecule: ribosomal RNA, 510 nt
Filed under: uncultured bacterium
Lineage: Bacteria
Description: partial 16S ribosomal RNA
Rfam family: Bacterial small subunit ribosomal RNA
Source: RNAcentral